RNAcentral lists this ribosomal RNA (485 nucleotides) under uncultured bacterium. RNAcentral describes it as "bacterial SSU rRNA". It matches the Rfam family "Bacterial small subunit ribosomal RNA", at positions 19 to 507 of the family's 1533-position model. The record is from RNAcentral.
AUGGCUCAGAUGAACGCUAGCGGCAGGCUUAACACAUGGCAAGUCGAGGGGUAUAGUUCUUCGGAAUUAGAGACCGGCGCACGGGUGCGUAACGCGUAUGCAAUCUACCUUCACAAGGGAUAGCCCAGAGAAAUUUGGAUUAAUACCUUAUAGUAAUACGACUUGGCAUCAAGAUGUAUUUAAAGAUUUAUCGGUGAAAGAUGAGCAUGCGUCCCAUUAGCUUGUUGGUAAGGUAACGGCUUACCAAGGCAACGAUGGGUAGGGGUCCUGAGAGGGAGAUCCCCCACACUGGUACUGAGACACGGACCAGACUCCUACGGGAGGCAGCAGUGAGGAAUAUUGGACAAUGGGCGCAAGCCUGAUCCAGCCAUGCCGCGUGCAGGAAUAAGGUCCUAUGGAUUGUAAACUGCUUUUAUACAGGAAGAAACACACCCUCGUGAGGGUACUUGACGGUACUGUAUGAAUAAGGACCGGCUAACUCCGUG